This 253-nucleotide ribosomal RNA is filed under the name uncultured bacterium. RNAcentral's name for it is "partial 16S ribosomal RNA". It matches the Rfam family "Bacterial small subunit ribosomal RNA", at positions 524 to 776 of the family's 1533-position model. The record is from RNAcentral.
UACGAAGGGUGCAAACGUUGCUCGGAAUUAUUGGGCGUAAAGCGCACGUAGGCGGCUUGGCAAGUCGGAUGUGAAAUCCCUCGGCUCAACCAAGGAAGUGCAUCCGAAACUGCUGAGCUUGAGUACUUAAGAGGAUCGUGGAAUUCCCGGUGUAGAGGUGAAAUUCGUAGAUAUCGGGAGGAACACCAGUGGCGAAGGCGGCGAUCUGGGAAGAUACUGACGCUGAGGUGCGAAAGCGUGGGGAGCGAACAGG